Molecule: long non-coding RNA, 983 nt
Filed under: Marmota monax (woodchuck)
Lineage: Eukaryota; Metazoa; Chordata; Mammalia; Rodentia; Sciuridae
Source: RNAcentral
AAAAACCACAUCUUCAGCAGACUUCUUUGUAAGUAUGACAUCAUAACAAUGAAUAUUUCUAUUUACUUCAAGUUAUGUUUUUCAGAGGUGUCCUAAAACACUUUGUCCUGCCACACAGAUAAUCUUAUGACAAAGAAAUCAUUUUUCUUGGACAAAAAUAGGGUAUCUUCACAAGACAGGAGAUAGACACACAUCGUAGCCUUCGGAAUUUGUGAUUGCUCCUAUGCAACACUGCUGGCUCUACUAUUCUAGGUCUCCCCUUCUAAAGUGAAGUGAAGAUUCCUCAGAUGACAUUUUUGGUGUUCUUAGAUCAUUCAGUCACUGAUUAUGGACAGUUUUAGUUUCUCACAGAUGGCCAACUACCUAGCACAGUGCAUGAGUUAUGCAUGGUCCCCUCAGAAGGCUAGCUCAUUUCCAAGAGCCCUGGAAUACUUCCCUUGGUCUCUGUGUACUGAUAACACUCAUCCAAGGUCAUUUUUAGUGCUAAUAAAAUUCCUGGUAUCAGACACAUGCUUUGUUCCAAAGACUUGGGCAAAGUGCUCCCAAUUGUCUGCAUCUCCGCUGAGGGUCUCUAAUUAGUGUUCUCUCUCGGGUGUUUUGCUUUAAAGGAGAGGCAAAGCCGACAGAAAGGAAGACUGCAGGGAGCCUGCGCAACGUGGUUGCCACAGAAACCUGACGUCAUUACUGCGACUGUGACGACAUUCUGAACGAGACCGACUUGCUCUGGUUGGAGAGCAGGGCACCACCUCCAGGGGUUUGGACUCAGCGGAGGGUGUGGGUGCUUCUUGGUGGGGACUGAGCCUUCCUGGGGUAUGGAAGAAGAGGAGAAUCUCAGAACCAAGUCACCUCGUUCCUGUUCUGGGACUCGGUGCCCCGCUGACUGCGGAGGGAGAGACUGGCCCUAUGCAGCGUGAUGUCCUGCGCCAGGGUGUCCUGGACCUAAUUUCUAUGUAAAGGCGGGGCGCGGGAGGGUAAGGCAAGGA